CUAAUUCUUGCGUAUGUGUACACGUCUAUAGUAACAGGACCUGCGUGUGAUUUUUUGAAUUUAUAGAGCUCAAUUCUUUGCACCCUAAUUCCCCAGAACGCUAAAUUAAUGCUUUAUACGUCAUAAUUAGUAUACGCGCAGCAAUUAAUGACGUGCGCAAUAAUCUUUCUCGAAAAUAAUCCCGGCGCAUCGUUGUCGCGGUCGCCACCCGACGCGUCGUCGCAAUAUCGUCUUAUUCGAUAUGCAGAGCCGCAUUCACCACCGUGUGAUAGCCACUGAAUUACUACGUCCUGCGCACGUUCCGUCAUUCCUCGCUCUCUUGUAACCAGUAGGCGUGUCGAGGAUUGUAACAGUCGCGCGACUCGCGUGUAGGGUGUAAAUAGUGCUCGUAAGGGUGGAAGCCUUGGAAGAGACGUCUUGCGACAAGAUGAUCUUCUGGAUCAGACUUCUUCGCUUUUCCUAUGCCCGAGACAGAUACUAACGAUAUGGGUACAAUAUGGCUUCAGCACUUUGGCAUGUCUCUGGGAAUAACUUUCUUUCGUCAGUCUUCGUGUCACUCUUACUGUUUUAUCCACACAACUCCAAAGCCCGCGAGGUAAUUGACGCACCACUGCCACAACAAGACUAUGUUGCAUCACUACCACCUCCACCGGGAGGUGCUACCACUGCCAGAGUACCAAAGUGCGAUCAGAAGUUUGUAAGCACUCCUGAUGGACCGCUAAAUGGAACCUUUUACGCACCAACGCUCAUCAAUCCUGAAGGAGAUCCACGACAGUGUGUUUAUACGUUCCUCGCAGGACCGCAUCAACGUGUUGAAUUGAUUUUCACCUCGUUCGGCCUCCGAGGAAAACCACCAGAUGGAUCUGCUGUGGGAGAAUUACCCGCCUGUAUUCAUGAGUAUAUGGACAUAUACUCCGAGAUACGAUCGGAAAACACGACUAAGCUGAUAGAAACGCCAUUUGGUGGACGGUUUUGCGGACCAAUUCCACCUCGCAGACGGGUCUCUCUUUAUCAGGGAAUUGCUCUUAGUUUCUUUUCUGAUAAGAAUAUCACUCUACCGAACGUUUUCAGCGGUAUUUACAGAUUUAUUAAUGCUUCUGAGUAUAAAGUGGGCACGCCAGCACCAAAUACACCAUGCUCUUUCACGAUACACGCAGAAGCUAAACGUAGCGGAAAUAUAUUAUCUCCUACUUAUCCUGGCACUUAUCCGAAAAAUCUUACUUGUAAUUAUCAAUUUAUCGGGAAGAAAGGACAACGUGUGCGGUUGGAAUUUCGCGACUUCGAUUUAUUUUUUGGCGGGCUACAUUGCCCAUUGGAUUACGUAAAGGUAUAUGAUGGUCUUGACAAUUCUACUGCCGUUAUUGGCACGUAUUGCGGUCAGCAGCGAAAUUUAGUAUUGUACUCCUCAGAGAAUAGUUUGUUCGUGCUGUUUGUCACGUUGAAGCGCACAGCUAAUACUCAGAACCGAGGUUUUAAGGGUAUUUUUGAGUUCUCGGAGAGUUUUGUUAGCCUGGAUUUCAUAACGGAAUAUCACGGCGAGCAUAUCCGUGGAUCGGAGUGCGAUCAGAAAAUCCUCAGCAAGAAGGAGACAUCGGGAUUUGUAGUUAGUCCAAAUUUUCCAUAUCCUUAUAUACCUAAGGUUGUUUGCCGUUAUUUUAUCUAUGGGAUGCAGGAUUCGCAGCACUUGGAGCGCGUACGAUUGGAAUUUUUAAAAUUUAUGAUACAGAUGGCCAAAGGAGAAGCGGCAUGCACCGAUGGUUACCUGAAAUUAUACCUGAAAGGCCAAGAAGCGACAGAUUCUUACGACAAAUUCGAUUACGAGAUGUGCGGUAACAAGAGCAAUCCGAAUCACGUGGUUAGUGAUGGCCCGAGACUUGUGAUGGUGUUUAGUAGCGGAGAAUUGCAAGCGACAGGUUUCAAAGCCAAGUACACCUUCGAAACGGAAUAUAAGAUACCGGGCACUGCGGCGCCCGAUGGCAGUUGUACUUUCACUUAUUACAGUUCGUCUCGCAAACGUGGAGAAUUUAAUUCUCCACGAUAUCCUAGUAAUUAUCCAAGCAAUACGAAUUGUACAUACUUUUUCAUGGCAACGCCAAACGAGCAGAUUACUUUGAUUUUUGACGCCUUUAAGGUUCGUACGAAAAACGUCAACGUAACAGUCGGACAUUACGGACAUGAAUUAUGUCAGGAAGAUUGGCUUGAAAUUUAUAAUAUGUAUCGGGACGAAACGGAGAAAUUGAUAGGAAGAUAUUGCGGUGCAACUGCGCCGGGUCCGGUAGACUCGAAUCUCGGUGCUCUUGGCUUGAAAGUGAUUUUGCAUUCUGACUCCGAGCUUGUUUACAGCGGCUUCAAAGCGCGUUAUACUUUCGAAGUCGCUAAACCUAUUUUCGGAGAUUGUGGAUCAAAUAUUAGUAGCUUACAUUAUGGUAUAAUAACCAGUCCGAAUUUCCCUAAUAAAUACGAUGGGCCAGCAAGAAACUUAGCAAGCAAAACUUGCAAUUGGUUCAUAAAAGUUCAACCGAAUCACCAGAUACUUCUGAACUUCGAGAUCUUCUCUGUGGAAGGUGAUCAGAUAGCACGAGGUUGUCCCGCAGCCGUAUUACGUAUGUGGUAUUCAUUAAUGUCCACUCCACACGAGCUAUGUGGCGUUAGAACUAGUGACACAAAAUGGCAUUUUCUUUCGGAAGAUAAUAAUAUGCGGCUUAGUUUUAUAUCAGCUGAUAAAGCGGUAGGACAACAAGGCUUUCGGGCAGUAUGGACUGAAGUGAGCACGAAUAUAGACUGUCAAAAUCAAGAAUUUCAAUGCAGCAAAAAUAAAUAUUGCAUCGCUGAAUCGUUACGAUGCAAUAACUUUGAUAAUUGCGGGCCGGAUGAUGCGUCGGAUGAAGAGAAUUGUGCAGCAUCAGCCCCAUUGUCACCAGCACUGGCUGGGAUCUCUUCUGCCAUGCUUCUCUCUCUGUGCUUUGUAUUCGUGGCCGUCUGAGCCCCCUUCAUGAAGCUUCCAGAUGAUCCGGCAUGUUAUGAUCUCUCCCUUAUCACGCAUUGCGGCAAUACCAGCAGACAAUUACACGAAACCGAUAGCCUAUGCUGUUGGCAGCAUCCUAGUCAUCCUGAUGUUCUGUUUAGUCUGCCACCGGAAGCUACGACGACGAUCGCGUGGUGUGCCAAUCGAUGAACUGCCGCCGCAAUGUGUAAUCGAUGCCAUUG
Molecule: unclassified non-coding RNA, 3207 nt
Filed under: Camponotus floridanus (Florida carpenter ant)
Lineage: Eukaryota; Metazoa; Arthropoda; Insecta; Hymenoptera; Formicidae
Description: tolloid-like protein 1, transcript variant X2
Source: RNAcentral